RNAcentral lists this ribosomal RNA (425 nucleotides) under Enterococcus lactis. Its description in RNAcentral is "bacterial SSU rRNA". It matches the Rfam family "Bacterial small subunit ribosomal RNA", at positions 971 to 1397 of the family's 1533-position model. Lineage: Bacteria; Bacillati; Bacillota; Bacilli; Lactobacillales; Enterococcaceae. The record is from RNAcentral.
UUACCAGGUCUUGACAUCCUUUGACCACUCUAGAGAUAGAGCUUCCCCUUCGGGGGCAAAGUGACAGGUGGUGCAUGGUUGUCGUCAGCUCGUGUCGUGAGAUGUUGGGUUAAGUCCCGCAACGAGCGCAACCCUUAUUGUUAGUUGCCAUCAUUCAGUUGGGCACUCUAGCAAGACUGCCGGUGACAAACCGGAGGAAGGUGGGGAUGACGUCAAAUCAUCAUGCCCCUUAUGACCUGGGCUACACACGUGCUACAAUGGGAAGUACAACGAGUUGCGAAGUCGCGAGGCUAAGCUAAUCUCUUAAAGCUUCUCUCAGUUCGGAUUGCAGGCUGCAACUCGCCUGCAUGAAGCCGGAAUCGCUAGUAAUCGCGGAUCAGCACGCCGCGGUGAAUACGUUCCCGGGCCUUGUACACACCGCCCGU